CUGGCAUGUAGUUGCUCAAUGAUGCCUGG
This 29-nucleotide non-coding RNA is filed under the name Rattus norvegicus (Norway rat). Lineage: Eukaryota; Metazoa; Chordata; Mammalia; Rodentia; Muridae. The record is from RNAcentral.